RNAcentral lists this ribosomal RNA (510 nucleotides) under uncultured bacterium. RNAcentral's name for it is "partial 16S ribosomal RNA". It matches the Rfam family "Bacterial small subunit ribosomal RNA", at positions 28 to 507 of the family's 1533-position model. The record is from RNAcentral.
GACGAACGCUGGCGGCGUGCUUAACACAUGCAAGUCGAACGAAGAGCGACGGAAGCUUGCUUCUAUCAAUCUUAGUGGCGAACGGGUGAGUAACGCGUAAUCAACCUGCCCUUCAGAGGGGGACAACAGUUGGAAACGACUGCUAAUACCGCAUACGAUCUAACCUCGGCAUCGAGGAUAGAUGAAAGGUGGCCUCUACAUGUAAGCUAUCACUGAAGGAGGGGAUUGCGUCUGAUUAGCUAGUUGGAGGGGUAACGGCCCACCAAGGCGAUGAUCAGUAGCCGGCCUGAGAGGAUGAACGGCCACAUUGGGACUGAGACACGGCCCAGACUCCUACGGGAGGCAGCAGUGGGGAAUCUUCCGCAAUGGACGAAAGUCUGACGGAGCAACGCCGCGUGAGUGAUGACGGCCUUCGGGUUGUAAAGCUCUGUUAAUCGGGACGAAAGGCCUUCUUGCGAAUAGUGAGAAGGAUUGACGGUACCGGAAUAGAAAGCCACGGCUAACUACGUG